RNAcentral lists this ribosomal RNA (941 nucleotides) under uncultured bacterium. RNAcentral's name for it is "bacterial SSU rRNA". It matches the Rfam family "Bacterial small subunit ribosomal RNA", at positions 9 to 916 of the family's 1533-position model. The record is from RNAcentral.
GAGUUUGAUCCUGGCUCAGGAUGAACGCUGGCGGCGUGCCUAACACAUGCAAGUCGAACGAAACUUCUUUAUCACCGAGUGCUUGCACUCACCGAUAAAGAGUUGAGUGGCGAACGGGUGAGUAACACGUGGGCAACCUGCCCAAAAGAGGGGGAUAACACUUGGAAACAGGUGCUAAUACCGCAUAACCAUAGUUACCGCAUGGUAACUAUGUAAAAGGUGGCUAUGCUACCGCUUUUGGAUGGGCCCGCGGCGCAUUAGCUAGUUGGUGGGGUAAAGGCUUACCAAGGCAAUGAUGCGUAGCCGAACUGAGAGGUUGAUCGGCCACAUUGGGACUGAGACACGGCCCAAACUCCUACGGGAGGCAGCAGUAGGGAAUCUUCCACAAUGGGCGAAAGCCUGAUGGAGCAACGCCGCGUGGGUGAAGAAGGUCUUCGGAUCGUAAAACCCUGUUGUUAGAGAAGAAAGUGCGUGAGAGUAACUGUUCACGUUUCGACGGUAUCUAACCAGAAAGCCACGGCUAACUACGUGCCAGCAGCCGCGGUAAUACGUAGGUGGCAAGCGUUAUCCGGAUUUAUUGGGCGUAAAGGGAACGCAGGCGGUCUUUUAAGUCUGAUGUGAAAGCCUUCGGCUUAACCGGAGUAGUGCAUUGGAAACUGGGAGACUUGAGUGCAGAAGAGGAGAGUGGAACUCCAUGUGUAGCGGUGAAAUGCGUAGAUAUAUGGAAGAACACCAGUGGCGAAAGCGGCUCUCUGGUCUGUAACUGACGCUGAGGUUCGAAAGCGUGGGUAGCAAACAGGAUUAGAUACCCUGGUAGUCCACGCCGUAAACGAUGAAUGCUAAGUGUUGGAGGGUUUCCGCCCUUCAGUGCUGCAGCUAACGCAAUAAGCAUUCCGCCUGGGGAGUACGACCGCAAGGUUGAAACUCAAAGGAAUUGACGG